RNAcentral lists this ribosomal RNA (253 nucleotides) under uncultured bacterium. RNAcentral's name for it is "partial 16S ribosomal RNA". It matches the Rfam family "Bacterial small subunit ribosomal RNA", at positions 524 to 776 of the family's 1533-position model. The record is from RNAcentral.
UACGUAGGCAACGAGCGUUGUUCGGAGUUACUGGGCGUAAAGAGUGCGUAGGCGGUUUUCUAAGUUUGGUGUGAAAUCUCCCGGCUCAACUGGGAGGGUGCGCCGAAGACUGGAAGGCUUGAGUAUGGGAGAGGUAAGCGGAAUUCCUGGUGUAGCGGUGAAAUGCGUAGAUAUCAGGAGGAACACCUGCGGUGUAGACGGCUGCCUGGACCGGCCCUGACGCUGAGGCGCGAAAGCUAGGGGAGCAAACAGG